This 253-nucleotide ribosomal RNA is filed under the name uncultured bacterium. RNAcentral's name for it is "partial 16S ribosomal RNA". It matches the Rfam family "Bacterial small subunit ribosomal RNA", at positions 524 to 776 of the family's 1533-position model. The record is from RNAcentral.
UACGUAGGGGGCAAGCGUUGUCCGGAAUUAUUGGGCGUAAAGAGCGUGUAGGCGGUCCGGUAAGUCAGCUGUGAAAGUCAAGGGCUCAACCCUUGAAAGCCGGUUGAUACUGUCGGGCUAGAGUCCGGAAGAGGCGAGUGGAAUUCCCGGUGUAGCGGUGAAAUGCGCAGAUAUCGGGAGGAACACCAAUGGCGAAGGCAGGUCUCUGGGCCAUAACUGACGCUGAGAAGCGAAAGCAUGGGGAGCGAACAGG